Molecule: small nucleolar RNA, 143 nt
Organism: Arvicanthis niloticus (Nile rat)
Lineage: Eukaryota; Metazoa; Chordata; Mammalia; Rodentia; Muridae
Product: small nucleolar RNA SNORA48
Source: RefSeq, a predicted model, not a curated record
CCCCUCUGCCAAUGGGCAAAGAGACCCUUGCUGGUUGUGCUGUUCUUAUGUCAGUCUGAGGCAGAACAAAUGGCAGUCCUUUAUUCAUCCUAACUUGAUGUCUGGCUUGAUGGCCAAAGCUGUUUUAUGCUUCGGACACAUAU